GGUUAAGCGACUAAGCGUACACGGUGGAUGCCCUGGCAGUCAGAGGCGAUGAAGGACGUGCUAAUCUGCGAUAAGCGUCGGUGAGGUGAUAUGAACCGUUAUAACCGGCGAUUUCCGAAUGGGGAAACCCAGUGUGUUUCGACACACUAUCAUUAACUGAAUCCAUAGGUUAAUGAGGCGAACCGGGGGAACUGAAACAUCUAAGUACCCCGAGGAAAAGAAAUCAACCGAGAUUCCCCCAGUAGCGGCGAGCGAACGGGGAGGAGCCCAGAGCCUGAAUCAGUGUGUGUGUUAGUGGAAGCGUCUGGAAAGGCGCGCGAUACAGGGUGACAGCCCCGUACACAAAAAUGCACAUACUGUGAGCUCGAUGAGUAGGGCGGGACACGUGGUAUCCUGUCUGAAUAUGGGGGGACCAUCCUCCAAGGCUAAAUACUCCUGACUGACCGAUAGUGAACCAGUACCGUGAGGGAAAGGCGAAAAGAACCCCGGCGAGGGGAGUGAAAAAGAACCUGAAACCGUGUACGUACAAGCAGUGGGAGCCUCUUAAUGGGGUGACUGCGUACCUUUUGUAUAAUGGGUCAGCGACUUAUAUUCUGUAGCAAGGUUAACCGAAUAGGGGAGCCGAAGGGAAACCGAGUCUUAACUGGGCGUUAAGUUGCAGGGUAUAGACCCGAAACCCGGUGAUCUAGCCAUGGGCAGGUUGAAGGUUGGGUAACACUAACUGGAGGACCGAACCGACUAAUGUUGAAAAAUUAGCGGAUGACUUGUGGCUGGGGGUGAAAGGCCAAUCAAACCGGGAGAUAGCUGGUUCUCCCCGAAAGCUAUUUAGGUAGCGCCUCGUGAAUUCAUCUCCGGGGGUAGAGCACUGUUUCGGCAAGGGGGUCAUCCCGACUUACCAACCCGAUGCAAACUGCGAAUACCGGAGAAUGUUAUCACGGGAGACACACGGCGGGUGCUAACGUCCGUCGUGAAGAGGGAAACAACCCAGACCGCCAGCUAAGGUCCCAAAGUCAUGGUUAAGUGGGAAACGAUGUGGGAAGGCCCAGACAGCCAGGAUGUUGGCUUAGAAGCAGCCAUCAUUUAAAGAAAGCGUAAUAGCUCACUGGUCGAGUCGGCCUGCGCGGAAGAUGUAACGGGGCUAAACCAUGCACCGAAGCUGCGGCAGCGACGCUUAUGCGUUGUUGGGUAGGGGAGCGUUCUGUAAGCCUGUGAAGGUGGCCUGUGAGGGUUGCUGGAGGUAUCAGAAGUGCGAAUGCUGACAUAAGUAACGAUAAAGCGGGUGAAAAGCCCGCUCGCCGGAAGACCAAGGGUUCCUGUCCAACGUUAAUCGGGGCAGGGUGAGUCGACCCCUAAGGCGAGGCCGAAAGGCGUAGUCGAUGGGAAACAGGUUAAUAUUCCUGUACUUGGUGUUACUGCGAAGGGGGGACGGAGAAGGCUAUGUUGGCCGGGCGACGGUUGUCCCGGUUUAAGCGUGUAGGCUGGUUUUCCAGGCAAAUCCGGAAAAUCAAGGCUGAGGCGUGAUGACGAGGCACUACGGUGCUGAAGCGACAAAUGCCCUGCUUCCAGGAAAAGCCUCUAAGCAUCAGGUAACAUUAAAUCGUACCCCAAACCGACACAGGUGGUCAGGUAGAGAAUACCAAGGCGCUUGAGAGAACUCGGGUGAAGGAACUAGGCAAAAUGGUGCCGUAACUUCGGGAGAAGGCACGCUGAUAUGUAGGUGAAGCGACUUGCUCGUGGAGCUGAAAUCAGUCGAAGAUACCAGCUGGCUGCAACUGUUUAUUAAAAACACAGCACUGUGCAAACACGAAAGUGGACGUAUACGGUGUGACGCCUGCCCGGUGCCGGAAGGUUAAUUGAUGGGGUUAGCGGUAACGCGAAGCUCUUGAUCGAAGCCCCGGUAAACGGCGGCCGUAACUAUAACGGUCCUAAGGUAGCGAAAUUCCUUGUCGGGUAAGUUCCGACCUGCACGAAUGGCGUAAUGAUGGCCAGGCUGUCUCCACCCGAGACUCAGUGAAAUUGAACUCGCUGUGAAGAUGCAGUGUACCCGCGGCAAGACGGAAAGACCCCGUGAACCUUUACUAUAGCUUGACACUGAACAUUGAGCCUUGAUGUGUAGGAUAGGUGGGAGGCUUUGAAGUGUGGACGCCAGUCUGCAUGGAGCCGACCUUGAAAUACCACCCUUUAAUGUUUGAUGUUCUAACGUGGGCCCCUUACCGGGGUUGCGGACAGUGUCUGGUGGGUAGUUUGACUGGGGCGGUCUCCUCCUAAAGAGUAACGGAGGAGCACGAAGGUUGGCUAAUCCUGGUCGGACAUCAGGAGGUUAGUGCAAUGGCAUAAGCCAGCUUGACUGCGAGCGUGACGGCGCGAGCAGGUGCGAAAGCAGGUCAUAGUGAUCCGGUGGUUCUGAAUGGAAGGGCCAUCGCUCAACGGAUAAAAGGUACUCCGGGGAUAACAGGCUGAUACCGCCCAAGAGUUCAUAUCGACGGCGGUGUUUGGCACCUCGAUGUCGGCUCAUCACAUCCUGGGGCUGAAGUAGGUCCCAAGGGUAUGGCUGUUCGCCAUUUAAAGUGGUACGCGAGCUGGGUUUAGAACGUCGUGAGACAGUUCGGUCCCUAUCUGCCGUGGGCGCUGGAGAACUGAGGGGGGCUGCUCCUAGUACGAGAGGACCGGAGUGGACGCAUCACUGGUGUUCGGGUUGUCAUGCCAAUGGCACUGCCCGGUAGCUAAAUGCGGAAGAGAUAAGUGCUGAAAGCAUCUAAGCACGAAACUUGCCCCGAGAUGAGUUCUCCCUGACUCCUUGAGAGUCCUGAAGGAACGUUGAAGACGACGACGUUGAUAGGCCGGGUGUGUAAGCGCAGCGAUGCGUUGAGCUAACCGGUACUAAUGAACCGUGAGGCUUAACCUU
RNAcentral lists this ribosomal RNA (2905 nucleotides) under Escherichia coli. RNAcentral's name for it is "23S ribosomal RNA". It matches the Rfam family "Bacterial large subunit ribosomal RNA". Lineage: Bacteria; Pseudomonadati; Pseudomonadota; Gammaproteobacteria; Enterobacterales; Enterobacteriaceae. The record is from RNAcentral. RNAcentral also lists the same sequence under 3 other names.